RNAcentral lists this ribosomal RNA (484 nucleotides) under uncultured bacterium. RNAcentral describes it as "partial 16S ribosomal RNA". It matches the Rfam family "Bacterial small subunit ribosomal RNA", at positions 30 to 507 of the family's 1533-position model. The record is from RNAcentral.
AUUGAACGCUGGCGGCAGGCCUAACACAUGCAAGUCGAGCGGAUGAAGGGAGCUUGCUCCUGGAUUCAGCGGCGGACGGGUGAGUAAUGCCUAGGAAUCUGCCUGGUGGUGGGGGAUAACGUCCGGAAACGGGCGCUAGUACCGCAUACGUCCUGAGGGAGAAAGUGGGGGAUCUUCGGACCUCACGCUAUCAGAUGAGCCUAGGUCGGAUUAGCUAGUUGGUGGGGUAAAGGCCUACCAAGGCGACGAUCCGUAACUGGUCUGAGAGGAUGAUCAGUCACACUGGAACUGAGACACGGUCCAGACUCCUACGGGAGGCAGCAGUGGGGAAUAUUGGACAAUGGGCGAAAGCCUGAUCCAGCCAUGCCGCGUGUGUGAAGAAGGUCUUCGGAUUGUAAAGCACUUUAAGUUGGGAGGAAGGGCAGUAAGUUAAUACCUUGCUGUUUUGACGUUACCAACAGAAUAAGCACCGGCUAACUUCGUG